UAGGGAAUCUUCGGCAAUGGGGGGAACCCUGACCGAGCAACGCCGCGUGAGUGAAGAAGGUUUUCGGAUCGUAAAGCUCUGUUGUUAAGGAAGAACGAGUGUGAGAAUGGAAAGUUCAUGCUGUGACGGUACUUAACCAGAAAGGGACGGCUAACUACGUGCCAGCAGCCGCGGUAAUACGUAGGUCCCGAGCGUUGUCCGGAUUUAUUGGGCGUAAAGCGAGCGCAGGCGGUUAGAAAAGUCUGAAGUGAAAGGCAGUGGCUCAACCAUUGAAGGCUUUGGAACUUGUUUACCUUGAGUGCGAAAGGGGAGGUUGGAAUUCAAGGUGAAGGGUGGAAUUGCGUGGAUUUAUGAGGAACACCGGUGGCGAAAGCGGCUCUCUGGUCUGUAACUGACGCUGAGGCUCGAAAGCGUGGGGAGCGAACAGG
Molecule: ribosomal RNA, 428 nt
Filed under: Bacteroidota bacterium
Lineage: Bacteria; Pseudomonadati; Bacteroidota
Description: Bacteroidetes bacterium partial 16S ribosomal RNA
Rfam family: Bacterial small subunit ribosomal RNA
Source: RNAcentral